RNAcentral lists this ribosomal RNA (438 nucleotides) under uncultured bacterium. RNAcentral describes it as "bacterial SSU rRNA". It matches the Rfam family "Bacterial small subunit ribosomal RNA", at positions 29 to 512 of the family's 1533-position model. The record is from RNAcentral.
AACGAACGCUGGCGGCAGGCCUAACACAUGCAAGUCGAACGCCGUGGCAAUACGGAGUGGCAGACGGGUGAGUAACACGUGGGAACGUACCCUUCGGUUCGGGAUAACUCAGGGAAACUUGAGCUAAUACCGGAUACGUCCGAGAGGAGAAAGAUUUAUCGCCGAGGGAUCGGCCCGCGUCUGAUUAGCUUGUUGGUGAGGUAACGGCUCACCAAGGCGACGAUCAGUAGCUGGUCNGAGAGGAUGAUCAGCCACAUUGGGACUGAGACACGGCCCAAACUCCUACGGGAGGCAGCAGUGGGGAAUAUUGGACAAUGGGCGCAAGCCUGAUCCAGCCAUGCCGCGUGAGUGAUGAAGGCCCUAGGGUUGUAAAGCUCUUUUACCCGGGAAGAUAAUGACUGUACCGGGAGAAUAAGCCCCGGCUAACUUCGUGCCAGC